AUAUCAGUCGAGCGGAAGGCCCUUCGGGGUACUCGAGCGGCGAACGGGUGAGUAACACGUGAGCAACCUGCCCCAAGCUUUGGGAUAACCCCGGGAAACCGGGGCUAAUACCGGAUAGGACUGCUGGCCGCAUGGCUGGUGGUGGAAAGUUUUUCGGCUUGGGAUGGGCUCGCGGCCUAUCAGCUUGUUGGUGGGGUGAUGGCCUACCAAGGCGACGACGGGUAGCCGGCCUGAGAGGGCGACCGGCCACACUGGGACUGAGACACGGCCCAGACUCCUACGGGAGGCAGCAGUGGGGAAUAUUGCACAAUGGGCGGAAGCCUGAUGCAGCGACGCCGCGUGAGGGAUGACGGCCUUCGGGUUGUAAACCUCUUUCAGCAGGGACGAAGCGGAAGUGACGGUACCUGCAGAAGAAGCGCCGGCCAACUACGUGCCAGCCG
Molecule: ribosomal RNA, 440 nt
Filed under: Actinomycetales bacterium
Lineage: Bacteria; Bacillati; Actinomycetota; Actinomycetes; Actinomycetales
Description: bacterial SSU rRNA
Rfam family: Bacterial small subunit ribosomal RNA
Source: RNAcentral